This is a non-coding RNA of Acanthosepion pharaonis, 89 nucleotides long. Lineage: Eukaryota; Metazoa; Mollusca; Cephalopoda; Sepiida; Sepiidae. The record is from the annotation of a GenBank genome assembly.
CACUUCCCGUACGAUCACUAAAGUUAAGCAACGUCGAACCUGAUCAGUACCUGGAUAGGUGACCGCAUGUGAAUACGAAGUGUUGUAAG